This 179-nucleotide ribosomal RNA is filed under the name Ruellia devosiana. RNAcentral's name for it is "5.8S ribosomal RNA". The stretch from base 48 to 179 matches the Rfam family "5.8S ribosomal RNA", at positions 1 to 137 of the family's 154-position model. From Rfam's summary of the family: 5.8S ribosomal RNA (5.8S rRNA) is a component of the large subunit of the eukaryotic ribosome. The record is from RNAcentral. Lineage: Eukaryota; Viridiplantae; Streptophyta; Magnoliopsida; Lamiales; Acanthaceae.
CGCGGUGUGCACAAAGGGGGUACGGUGCGUAUCUUGAAUGUCAAAACGACUCUCGGCAACGGAUAUCUCGGCUCUCGCAUCGAUGAAGAACGUAGCGAAAUGCGAUACUUGGUGUGAAUUGCAGAAUCCCGUGAACCAUCGAGUCUUUGAACGCAAGUUGCGCCCGAAGCCUUCGGGCC